This 497-nucleotide ribosomal RNA is filed under the name uncultured bacterium. RNAcentral's name for it is "partial 16S ribosomal RNA". It matches the Rfam family "Bacterial small subunit ribosomal RNA", at positions 28 to 507 of the family's 1533-position model. The record is from RNAcentral.
GAUGAACGCUGGCGGCGUGCCUAAUACAUGCCAGUCGAGCGAACAGACGAGGAGCUUGCUCCUCUGACGUUAGCGGCGGACGGGUGAGUAACACGUGGAUAACCUACCUAUAAGACUGGGAUAACUUCGGGAAACCGGAGCUAAUACCGGAUAACAUGUUGAACCGCAUGGUUCAACAGUGAAAGACGGUUUUGCUGUCACUUAUAGAUGGAUCCGCGCCGCAUUAGCUAGUUGGUAAGGUAACGGCUUACCAAGGCAACGAUGCGUAGCCGACCUGAGAGGGUGAUCGGCCACACUGGAACUGAGACACGGUCCAGACUCCUACGGGAGGCAGCAGUAGGGAAUCUUCCGCAAUGGGCGAAAGCCUGACGGAGCAACGCCGCGUGAGUGAAGAAGGUCUUCGGAUCGUAAAACUCUGUUAUUAGGGAAGAACAAAUGUGUAAGUAGCUAUGCACGUCUUGACGGUACCUAAUCAGAAAGCCACGGCUAACUACGUG